RNAcentral lists this ribosomal RNA (465 nucleotides) under Vreelandella stevensii. RNAcentral describes it as "partial 16S ribosomal RNA". It matches the Rfam family "Bacterial small subunit ribosomal RNA", at positions 338 to 795 of the family's 1533-position model. The record is from RNAcentral. Lineage: Bacteria; Pseudomonadati; Pseudomonadota; Gammaproteobacteria; Oceanospirillales; Halomonadaceae.
CCUACGGGAGGCAGCAGUGGGGAAUAUUGGACAAUGGGGGGAACCCUGAUCCAGCCAUGCCGCGUGUGUGAAGAAGGCCCUCGGGUUGUAAAGCACUUUCAGUGAGGAAGAACGCCUGGUGGUUAAUACCCAUCAGGAAAGACAUCACUCACAGAAGAAGCACCGGCUAACUCCGUGCCAGCAGCCGCGGUAAUACGGAGGGUGCGAGCGUUAAUCGGAAUUACUGGGCGUAAAGCGCGCGUAGGUGGCUUGAUAAGCCGGUUGUGAAAGCCCCGGGCUCAACCUGGGAACGGCAUCCGGAACUGGCAAGCUAGAGUGCAGGAGAGGAAGGUAGAAUUCCCGGUGUAGCGGUGAAAUGCGUAGAGAUCGGGAGGAAUACCAGUGGCGAAGGCGGCCUUCUGGACUGACACUGACACUGAGGUGCGAAAGCGUGGGUAGCAAACAGGAUUAGAUACCCUGGUAGUC